UAAAAUUGCAUUAAAACUACUUUAAAAUUACUUUAUUAUAAUAAUGUCCGUAUCCUGUUUAACGUCAGUCUGACAUUUACGAAAAUUACCCAUGAUUUUAUUGUCGAUCGGUCGGUUUGCAACGAUUGCGGCCUCCAUAGCUUAUGUCCAAUAUUUACAUGUUUUAAACAAUUGUAAUGGCGAUUCCGCGAAAACCCUCGAGGCGAUAAGGCGAAUUAUGGCAUUAUCAGGUAAAUUACGGUGCUGUCUGUUCUUGUAAUUAGCAGUUUUUAUAUUUGUAAAUUAAAAUUGCAAUAAACGAAUAUAAUUUUCUCUGUUUUUUCAAAAUAUACCAAAAGAAAAAGCGGCCAGGUUCCAGCCAGUUCGCUCCAUCGUUUUGCCACCCGUUUGCGUUCGAUUAGGGUUUGCCGGGGUAAUACCACGUCCUAAACAUUUAUAUAUAUAUCGAGUAUAAUAUUUGCGUUUCGAUAGCCAUUUCGACGGUGAAGAUGGCCGUUUUGUUUUUUUAUAGCAAUACGGGCUUCCAAUAUAUCCAACAUUCGAGCCAGAUACGUUUGCGCAAAUUUGGACAGUAGUCUAUUAUCCCCAUUUGCAAUUACAGCAUCCAAGACUUUCAAAACGCUGAAAACCCUUGGAUUUGAACUGGGAAUCUUACACGAUAACCUUGUCUGACCGAGGAGGAUAAACCAGGGUUCGAUUACAGAUUCGAGCUUUUAUAUAAAGAGAACCAUUGAAUUUUAAUGGAUAAGGCGAGCACAAAAUUCAUAUAUACCCUUGAUACGCAUGUUAUAUUCGGCUCGCUUCUUUCCAAACCUUUAACUGAUUGGGUGCUGUUUGCAAAUAUUUGAAAACAUGGCUGGGGAACGAUGUUUUGAUAAAUUUACACAAAUAUAAUUCGUAGCAGCAGCUGAUGUGUUUACCGUUAUCGUGUCGAUUUCUGUUUGGCAAAAAAGCUGUUUUUAUACCGGAAGUACCCUGAAACCAGGCUUUCGAAAAAAGCUUCACAGCCCAUAGCCUGGAUUCUGGUUUUUAAAGUCUAAUUAAAUUUUGAAAUUCUCAACGGGCUAAAAGUUGCACUUUUGAAUAGAUACGGGUAAUAAAAUGUUCCAUUUUCUAUUAUAUAGCUUUUUUGAGGGUAAAUUGCGUCGGACUCGAUUUAAAUAAAGAUUUUAAGGUUAUGUGAUCGAUUAUACGUUCCCUUGCUUUUUUACGGGCAUCCAUAGUACGGCCCACAAAAACAACCGUUUCGGUUAACUAAUAUACCAUAUUCCGAGGGUAUUUAUCAAUUUGUACAGUACGAUAAUUCCCGAAUUUAGUACUAGUUUUUAGCAGAAAAGAAUUCGCUGCGUAGUAGGUGUUCGAAGCUGGCACAGGCAAUUGAAGAUCCAUAUAUAACGAUAUAGAAAAUUUGUUUUGGCUGAUGUUUUACUGUUGUACCCAAUUACCGUAAAUUUCAAUUACGGUAGCCAAGCUUUUUUUAAAUCCAGAAAAACCAGAACAAAAAGCAGCGCCAUUAUUAUCCAGGUUAUACACGCUAUUAGAAGCAAUAGGCCAAUUAAAUCACCUCCACCAAUAAUAACUGUAACUCCUUUGUUAGUAUCCUGGGUGGGUAGGUUUUUGCAAUUAAAAUAUAGCCGCUAAUUUACUGCAUCGAUGGGAAUUUACAGAAGUCCAUUAAUAAUAUUGUCCUUUAAUAUCACCGUUAAGGGCGUUGUUUUUAUAGGUUUCGUAGGACUCCAUAUUGGAGAAAUUAAACAUUGUUAUUUUAAUUAAAAGUUUUUAAAAAAAUGUGCCAGAAAAUAGUUAAUAAUACAGUUUGUUUUGCUAUAAAUAUAAUUUUAGUAAUAGUAUAUGGGAGUUAUAAAAAACGAUACCUCCUGUGCGAAUUUCCUCCUAUUGGAGUUUAUAUAAUAUGCGUGGUUAAAUCCGGUGUCCAGGAUAUAGGGCAACGACCAGGAUUAUGGUAUUAUAAACCCUGCACAGGUUGUUUUAUAUUCGAACAAUAAGAAUAAGCCCAAUAUUUAAACUAUACGGCUGAGCCCAGUGUUUAAAUCCUAUGGUUGAACCCAGUGUUUAAACUAUGCGGCUGAGCCCAGUAUUUAAAUUAUGCAAUGUUAGCCUAAUGUUUAUAUGGUUGAACCCAAUGUUCAAACUAUGCGGCUAAACCCAGUAUUUAAGCUAUAUAAUUAAACCCAGUGUUCAAAUUUUGCGGCUGAGCCCAGGGUUCAAACCAUGUGGUUGAACCCAAUAUCCAGGGUACAGGAUGCAAAACUACCAAAAUCCGGCCGAGUAACAAAAACCAGUAGCUAACUCAUCACUUUAGCAAAGCUUGUACGCACCUACAAACACUGUAAACCCCACCGUCCACGGUUAUUAUUAAGCAAUUAAUUCUUGGAAUUUACUGCGAGCCUAUUUGGCCCCUUGAACCCGGUUUUGGGACGUUUAAAACUAGGUUAAAUAAAUGUAGGUGGUGAUAUGGUGGGAUAUUGUAAAAUAUCGCCAUAACCCAUAACUUCACCAAUUUUUGCCAUUGCUGCCAUUAUUACGUUAGUUAGGUUUGGAUGGGAGCUUUCGAGAUUAAUCAAACGAAGAAAAUUCGAUAAAAAGUUAAAAAGUGUAUUUUACAGCCUUGGUAAAGCCCGCAGAUUUAUAAGAAAUAAGGAGUAUAAAUACUGGCGCGAGAAAUAUAAGCGCGCAAAUUUUAAAUAUGACCGUAAAUGUGGCCUCAAUUUCCUAUUUUGCUAUUUUUGUUAAUACCGAGAAAUUGUGGAGUUGAAGCAAAUAAAGAUUUUCGUGAAGAUUUUGCUCCAGAACGCACAGUAAACCUACGAUAAUCUCCCAUAUUAAAAGGGAUUAGACCAGUUAUGCAGUGCAGGGAAUUUUGUUGGGGUUUCGCAUAAUUGCCAUUUUAUCCUAAAUGUUCGAAAAAUAUGUGCAUUAAUUUUGCGGAAGUAAAGAUUAUGUGGAAACCCUAUUCCUUUUAACAUUGGAGCAAGUUUAGGAAACAAUUACUGGACAGGGGGCUUCUAAUGGCAAAUAGCGUAAUUAUUUAGAAAAACAAAUUUAUUUCGGGUGUCAAGUUACGGUUGCGAGGAUAUAUAGUCUCAUUCUGUAAUUUUACGAUAGUUCCGAUAUCAAUUGCUAAAUGGUUGUGAAAAAAAUACGCACUAAUAAAACAAAAGAGCCGAAAGCACAAAUCUAAGAACAAAAAAGAAACAAACCUAUACCACCUUAUUUUUUCCCCUUUUUUUGUUAUUUCUAUUGUUUCCUUAACUUCUUAUUUUGUAU
RNAcentral lists this small RNA (3288 nucleotides) under Pyricularia oryzae. Its description in RNAcentral is "Magnaporthe oryzae sRNA M_BR32_EuGene_00126731". The record is from RNAcentral. Lineage: Eukaryota; Fungi; Ascomycota; Sordariomycetes; Magnaporthales; Pyriculariaceae.